UGGGGUGUGGCUCAGUGGUAGAGUGCUUGCCUAGCAUGCAUGAGGCACUGGGUUCAGAGUGCUUGCCUAGCAUGCACGAGGCACUGGGUUCGAUCCUCAGCACCAA
RNAcentral lists this transfer RNA (106 nucleotides) under Marmota monax (woodchuck). RNAcentral's name for it is "tRNA.Ala". Lineage: Eukaryota; Metazoa; Chordata; Mammalia; Rodentia; Sciuridae. The record is from RNAcentral.